UAGUAGUGUGACAUGCCCGUUUGGGAUUUACUCUGAUGAUUUAUUUAUUAAUUAAUUGAUUUUGAGUAACAGGGUGUUGCAAAUUACA
This 88-nucleotide microRNA precursor is filed under the name Medicago truncatula (barrel medic). RNAcentral's name for it is "MIR2617 microRNA precursor family". It matches the Rfam family "MIR2617 microRNA precursor family". The record is from Rfam by way of RNAcentral. Lineage: Eukaryota; Viridiplantae; Streptophyta; Magnoliopsida; Fabales; Fabaceae.